ACAAAUGAAAAGGGACUUCGGUCUACUUACGUUUAGUUCGUUCGUUCGUUCGUUCGUAGAACAUUUUGUGAACUGUAAAGUCUCUGGCGGCUGGGUGUGACAAAACCUUAGGGAUUAUGUUGCAUCUGUCAACUUGAGGAAUCAGGUCGUGGACAAACCGCCAACCAUCUGUUUUGACUUGAUGUGUUAUAUUUUUAUCUAACAUUUACUUGUAUAAAAUAUACAAA
RNAcentral lists this unclassified non-coding RNA (227 nucleotides) under soil metagenome. Its description in RNAcentral is "partial internal transcribed spacer 1". The record is from RNAcentral.